AAGCCAAAGUUUUCUUUCUGUGGAAAAGUUGAUGCGCCUUUUAAGAAGUGAACAACCAAGUUAUUUGCCUGGAAAAGUCUCCUGAAAUACUGAAGUUAUGCUAAAGAAGGAGAAGAGAAAGGAAGCUGCAGUCCCUGUAUAACUCCUAAAUUUUUAAUUUGGAGUUCCUCUUCUUCGGUGCAACAAUCUUUCUGCAUGCACAGAUCCAUGUGGCACUCAUCUCAUCAUUCUGAGGGAAGAAAGAUGCAUAGGGAAUGUUGCAUGUGGUUAUUUCUACACCAUGGCAAUAUGUUUUCUUGAAAUGAAGCUAAGGACUGGGAAAUUGAAAGUAAUCCUCAUGCUUUUUGAUAAUGCACCUCCUCAGGAAUAAUAUCAAAGUAACACCUGAACAAAAAGGGCUGGUUCAGGUGACCACAGAGUGACAAUUUCUCUCAAGUGCACAUUAUCCAUCAAGAAGAUUUAAAUCAUUUUGAAAUAUUAAUAUAAUGAUCAAAAAUUAACUUUUAUACAUGUUAUUAGGUAGGUUAUUGUAAUAACUAUUACUAUAAUUAAUAUAGGCGAGUUUGUUUUGCCAAAACUCUUAAAAUGAGAUCUAGAAUUAGAAAUGACUUUUUUCCUUACAUCUUAGGCAGAACCCACAGAAAACAAUAAAGCACGAGAGAAAAGAGGAUGGCAGUUUACCCAGGAAACAUAGGUUGUGCAAAGCUUUGCAAUGAUACUCUCAAUUCAGAGCAAUGAAGAACAGAAUGCUGUCUUCCCAUAAUGAUGGCAUUCAAUUAUCACUAGACUUACAAGACUACAGAAAAUUUCUCAAGAACCAGUAAGGAUCAGACAGAGCCAAUGACAAUACUGAAGAAGCUUGCCAGUGGAGAAUGAAAGCUCAGUUACACAAAUUACGUUGUUGAACCAGUGCCAGAAAUAAAAUGUGAUGGACAAACUCA
Molecule: long non-coding RNA, 941 nt
Organism: Homo sapiens (human)
Lineage: Eukaryota; Metazoa; Chordata; Mammalia; Primates; Hominidae
Product: long intergenic non-protein coding RNA 2237
Source: Ensembl